CUGGAAUACAGUGGUGCAAUCUUGGCUCACUGCAACCUCCACCUCCCAGGUUCAAGCGAUUCUCCUGCCUCAGCCUCCCGAGUACCUGGGACUACAGGCGCCCGCCACCACACCCGGCUAAUUUUUGUAUUUUUAGUAGAGAUGGGGUUUCACCAUGUUGGCCAGUCUGGUCUUGAACUCUUGACCUCGAGUGAUCUGCCCGCCUCAGCCUCCCGAAGUGCUGGGAUUACAGGCAUGAGACGCCACACCCGUCCAGUCAUCGAUUUUAAAGUUGUAAUGGCCAGUUUUAAGUCCAAAUCUAAAGGUGUCCAAUCCCAACAGCGGGCACAGAGGACCAGGUCUCCAAGGGGUGGAGAGAAGCGGGAUCAGAAGGUGUGUAUGAGGCCGGGCGCAGUGGCUCACGCCUAUAAUCCCAGCACUUUGGGAAGCUGAGGCAGGCAGAUCACUUGAGGUCAGGAGUUCGAGAUCAGCCUGACCGACAUGGUGAAACCCCGUCUCUACUAAAAAUACAAAAGUCAGCCGGGAAUGGUGGCACAUGCCUGUAAUCCCAGCUCCUCCAGAGGCUGAGGAAGGAGAAUCUGGGAGGCAGAGGUUUCAGUGAGCCAAGAUCGCACCACUGCACUCCAGUCUGGGCGACAGAGCGAGACUCUGCCUUAAAAAAAAAAAAAAA
RNAcentral lists this long non-coding RNA (670 nucleotides) under Homo sapiens (human). RNAcentral's name for it is "HSALNT0396459". Lineage: Eukaryota; Metazoa; Chordata; Mammalia; Primates; Hominidae. The record is from RNAcentral.